CAUCCUCCAAGGCUAAAUACUCCUGACUGACCGAUAGUGAACCAGUACCGUGAGGGAAAGGCGAAAAGAACCCCGGCGAGGGGAGUGAAAAAGAACCUGAAACCGUGUACGUACAAGCAGUGGGAGCACAGGUUUACCUGUGUGACUGCGUACCUUUUGUAUAAUGGGUCAGCGACUUAUAUUCUGUAGCAAGGUUAACCGAAUAGGGGAGCCGGAGGGAAACCGAGUCUUAAUUGGGCGUUAAGUUGCAGGGUAUAGACCCGAAACCCGGUGAUCUAGCCAUGGGCAGGUUGAAGGUUGGGUAACACUAACUGGAGGACCGAACCGACUAAUGUUGAAAAAUUAGCGGAUGACCUGUGGCUGGGGGUGAAAGGCCAAUCAAACCGGGAGAUAGCUGGUUCUCCCCGAAAGCUAUUUAGGUAGCGCCUCGUGAAUUCAUCUCCGGGGGUAGAGCACUGUUUCGGCUAGGGGGCCAUCCCGGCUUACCAACCCGAUGCAAACUGCGAAUACCGGAGAAUGUUAUCACGGGAGACACACGGCGGGUGCUAACGUCCGUCGUGAAGAGGGAAACAACCCAGACCGCCAGCUAAGGUCCCAAAGUCAUGGUUAAGUGGGAAACGAUGUGGGAAGGCCCAGACAGCCAGGAUGUUGGCUUAGAAGCAGCCAUCAUUUAAAGAAAGCGUAAUAGCUCACUGGUCGAGUCGGCCUGCGCGGAAGAUGUAACGGGGCUAAACCAUGCACCGAAGCUGCGGCAGCGACGCUUAUGCGU
RNAcentral lists this ribosomal RNA (769 nucleotides) under Salmonella enterica. RNAcentral's name for it is "partial 23S ribosomal RNA". It matches the Rfam family "Bacterial large subunit ribosomal RNA", at positions 454 to 1221 of the family's 2925-position model. Lineage: Bacteria; Pseudomonadati; Pseudomonadota; Gammaproteobacteria; Enterobacterales; Enterobacteriaceae. RNAcentral also lists the same sequence under 1 other name. The record is from RNAcentral.